ACGAUGUCAACUAGCUGUUGGGGGUUUGAAUCCUUGGUAGCGUAGCUAACGCGAGAAGUCGACCGCCUGGGGAGUACGGCCGCAAGGUUAAAACUCAAAGGAAUUGACGGGGACCCGCACAAGCGGUGGAUGAUGUGGAUUAAUUCGAUGCAACGCGAAAAACCUUACCUGGUCUUGACAUGUAACGAAUCCUUGAGAGAUUGAGGAGUGCCCGAAAGGGAGCGUUAACACAGGUGCUGCAUGGCUGUCGUCAGCUCGUGUCGUGAGAUGUUGGGUUAAGUCCCGCAACGAGCGCAACCCUUGCCAUUAGUUGCCAUCAUUAAGUUGGGCACUCUAAUGGGACUGCCGGUGACAAACCGGAGGAAGGUGGGGAUGACGUCAAGUCCUCAUGGCCCUUAUGACCAGGGCUUCACACGUCAUACAAUGGUCGGUACAGAGGGUCGCGAAGCCGCGAGGUGGAGCCAAUCUCAUAAAACCGAUCGUAGUCCGGAUCGCACUCUGCAACUCGAGUGCGUGAAGUCGGAAUCGCUAGUAAUCGCAGAUCAGCAUGCUGCGGUGAAUACGUUCCCGGGUCUUGUACACACCGCCCGUCACACCAUGGGAGUGAGUUUCACCAGAAGUGGGUAGGCUAACCGUAAGGAGGCCGCUUACCACGGUGGGAUUCAUGACUGGGGUGAAGUCGUAACAAGGUAGCCGUAGGGGAACCUGCGGCUGG
Molecule: ribosomal RNA, 715 nt
Filed under: uncultured beta proteobacterium
Lineage: Bacteria; Pseudomonadati; Pseudomonadota; Betaproteobacteria
Description: bacterial SSU rRNA
Rfam family: Bacterial small subunit ribosomal RNA
Source: RNAcentral